RNAcentral lists this ribosomal RNA (440 nucleotides) under uncultured bacterium. RNAcentral describes it as "partial 16S ribosomal RNA". It matches the Rfam family "Bacterial small subunit ribosomal RNA", at positions 338 to 795 of the family's 1533-position model. The record is from RNAcentral.
CCUACGGGUGGCAGCAGUGGGGAAUAUUGCACAAUGGGGGAAAGCCUGAAGCAGCGACGCAGCGUGAGUGAAGAAGUAUCUCGGUACGGAAAGCUCUAUCAGCAGGGAAGAAAAUGACGGUACCUGACUAAGAAGCCACGGCCAACGACGUGCAAGCAGCCGUGGUAAGACGUAGGGGGCACGCGUUAUCCGGAUUUACUGGGUGUAAAGCGGUCGUAUGCGGUAUGUCAAGUCAAGGGUGAAAUCUCCGCGCUUAACGUGGGAACUGCCUUUGAAACUGGCAAACUGGAGUGUGUGAGAGGAAAGUGGAAUUCCUGGUGUAGGAGUGAAAUCCGUAGAUAUCUCGAGGAACAUCAAUGGCGAAGGCGGCUAUCUGGCACAUAACUGACGCUGAGGAGCGAAAGCGUGGGUAGCAAACAGGAUUAGAUACCCCUGUAGUC